RNAcentral lists this ribosomal RNA (451 nucleotides) under uncultured bacterium. RNAcentral's name for it is "bacterial SSU rRNA". It matches the Rfam family "Bacterial small subunit ribosomal RNA", at positions 329 to 794 of the family's 1533-position model. The record is from RNAcentral.
UACCAGACUCCUACGGGAGGCAGCAGUGGGGGAUAUUGGACAAUGGGGGAAACCCUGAUCCAGCGACGCCGCGUGAGUGAAGAAGUAUUUCGGUAUGUAAAGCUCUGUCAGCAGGGAAGAAAGAAAUGACGGUACCUGACCAAGAAGCCCCGGCUAACUACGUGCCAGCAGCCGCGGUAAUACGUAGGGGGCAAGCGUUAUCCGGAUUCACUGGGGGUAAAGGGAGCGUAGACGGCCAUGCAAGCCUGGAGUGAAAGCCCGGGGCGCAACCCCGGGACUGCUCUGGGAACUGUGCGGCUAGAGUGCGGGAGGGGCAGGCGGAAUUCCUGGUGUAGCGGUGAAAUGCGUAGAUAUCAGGAGGAACACCGGCGGCGAAGGCGGCCUGCUGGACCGCGACUGACGUUGAGGCUCGAAAGCGUGGGGAGCAAACAGGAUUAGAUACCCUCGUACA